UCCGCAAUGGGGGCAACCCUGACGGAGUCAACGCCGCGUGGGGGACGGAAUGUACUGUGGAUUGUAAACCCCUUUUCUCAGGGAAGAAGUUCUGACGGUACCUGAGGAAUCAGCAUCGGCUAACUCCGUGCCAGCAGCCGCGGUAAGACGGAGGAUGCAAGCGUUAUCCGGAAUUAUUGGGCGUAAAGCGUCCGUAGGCGGUUUAUCAAGUCUGUCGUUAAAGACUGCAGCUUAACUGUGGGCGAGCGGUGGAAACUGAUUAACUAGAGUGUGGUAGGGGUAGAGGGAAUUCCCAGUGUAGCGGUGAAAUGCGUAGAUAUUGGGAAGAACACCAGUGGCGAAGGCGCUCUACUGGGCCACAACUGACGCUGAGGGACGAAAGCUAGGGGAGCGAAAGGGAUUAGAUACCCCUGUAGU
RNAcentral lists this ribosomal RNA (417 nucleotides) under uncultured cyanobacterium. RNAcentral's name for it is "bacterial SSU rRNA". It matches the Rfam family "Bacterial small subunit ribosomal RNA", at positions 365 to 794 of the family's 1533-position model. The record is from RNAcentral. Lineage: Bacteria; Bacillati; Cyanobacteriota.